RNAcentral lists this transfer RNA (77 nucleotides) under Caudoviricetes sp. RNAcentral describes it as "tRNA-Arg". It matches the Rfam family "tRNA". Rfam says of the family: Transfer RNA (tRNA) molecules are approximately 80 nucleotides in length. Their secondary structure includes four short double-helical elements and three loops (D, anti-codon, and T loops). The record is from RNAcentral. Lineage: Duplodnaviria; Heunggongvirae; Uroviricota; Caudoviricetes.
CUCCUCAUAACUCAAUAGGAUAGAGUAACAGUCUUCUAAACUGUAGGUUACAGGUUCGAGUCCUGUUGAGGAGACCA